This 21-nucleotide non-coding RNA is filed under the name Caenorhabditis elegans. The record is from RNAcentral. Lineage: Eukaryota; Metazoa; Nematoda; Chromadorea; Rhabditida; Rhabditidae.
UAAGCGGAAAGUGUGAAAAUC